UGUGUAGGCGGUUAUAUUAGUCGGGUGUUAAAUCCUGGGGCUCAACCUCAGGCUCGCAUCCGAAACGGUAUAACUAGAAGAAGUGAGAGGUAAACAGAACUCAUGGUGUAGGGGUGAAAUCCGUUGAUAUCAUGGGGAAUACCAAAUGCGAAGGCAGUUUACUGGCACUUUCUUGACGCUGAGGCACGAAAGCGUGGGUAGCGAACG
This 207-nucleotide ribosomal RNA is filed under the name uncultured bacterium. RNAcentral's name for it is "partial 16S ribosomal RNA". It matches the Rfam family "Bacterial small subunit ribosomal RNA", at positions 568 to 774 of the family's 1533-position model. The record is from RNAcentral.